Molecule: ribosomal RNA, 224 nt
Filed under: uncultured prokaryote
Description: partial 16S ribosomal RNA
Rfam family: Bacterial small subunit ribosomal RNA
Source: RNAcentral
UACGGAGGGUGCAAGCGUUGUCCGGAUUUAUUGGGUUUAAAGGGUGCGUAGGUGGUCUUCUAAGUCUGGUUUGAAAGCAGGCGGCUUAACCGUCUGAUGUGGCUGGAAACUGGGGGACUUGAAUGGGUUGGCGGUAGCCGGAACGGGUCAUGUAGCGGUGAAAUGCAUAGAUAUGACCCAGAACCCCGAUUGCGAAGGCAGGCUACUACGACCGCUAUUGACAC